UAGGAAUUUGGCUGGUAACCUCUGGAAA
Molecule: non-coding RNA, 28 nt
Filed under: Homo sapiens (human)
Lineage: Eukaryota; Metazoa; Chordata; Mammalia; Primates; Hominidae
Source: RNAcentral